RNAcentral lists this ribosomal RNA (255 nucleotides) under uncultured bacterium. Its description in RNAcentral is "partial 16S ribosomal RNA". It matches the Rfam family "Bacterial small subunit ribosomal RNA", at positions 524 to 777 of the family's 1533-position model. The record is from RNAcentral.
UACAGAGGGGGCAAGCGUUAUUCGGAAUUAUUGGGCGUAAAGGGCGCGUAGGCGGCAUGGCAAGUGGAUGGUGAAAUCCCUCGGCUUAACCGAGGAACUGCCGUCCAAACUGCCUCGCUUGAGACCGGGAGAGGUGAGUGGAAUUCCCAGUGUAGCGGUGAAAUGCGUAGAUAUUGGGAGGAACACCAGUGGCGAAGGCGGCUCACUGGACCGGUACUGACGCUGAUGCGCGAAAGCGUGGGGGAGCAAACGGGG